AUACCUUUCUCGGCCUUUUGGCUAAGAUCAAGUGUAGUAUCUGUUCUUAUCAGUUUAAUAUCUGAUAUGUAAGCCAUUGGCUCACACGAUAUUAAAUUAAUUUUUUGAGGGGGAGGAGUUAUUACAGUAGCUUGCUACUCGGCUUCUUGAGCGUCGCCCAUGCGUUGCACUAUUGCAAGGGCCUGGCGCACCCUAC
Molecule: small nuclear RNA, 196 nt
Organism: Arachis duranensis
Lineage: Eukaryota; Viridiplantae; Streptophyta; Magnoliopsida; Fabales; Fabaceae
Product: U2 spliceosomal RNA
Exons: 1
Source: RefSeq, a predicted model, not a curated record